This 75-nucleotide transfer RNA is filed under the name Symbiodinium pilosum. It matches the Rfam family "tRNA". Rfam says of the family: Transfer RNA (tRNA) molecules are approximately 80 nucleotides in length. Their secondary structure includes four short double-helical elements and three loops (D, anti-codon, and T loops). RNAcentral also lists the same sequence under 1 other name. The record is from Rfam by way of RNAcentral. Lineage: Eukaryota; Dinophyceae; Suessiales; Symbiodiniaceae.
GAGACAUUAGCUCAGUUGGUUCAGAGCACUACCUUGACAGGGUAGGGGUCACUGGUUCGAAUCCAGUAUGUCUCA